AACAGAUAUGCAUACAGACAAACUUUGGACACUUAGUGCGAGUAUACCCAUUUAUUUCAGACAUCAGUUUCUUGACUGCUCAUGUUUUAUAUGUAGAACUGGUUGGUAAAGAUGUUGGUUUUAAUUGGAGAAACCUGACACCGGCUUUCUACACUGGGUUUGUCAAUGCAAGUUUCACAGCAUUCGUUUCCGUGGUAUUUAUCUUGCUGGCGUUUAAACGAAAAAGAUUUAAUGUCGAAGAAAAUGGUUUCGUUUACGUGAAAUAGGAACAUUCGAAAUCAGAAAACACUGUUGCUCGUUGUCAUGGAAUCCAUUACGCUGAUAGUCAAAGUAUAUCCGUGAGCGACCAAUCGUUGUCUUUGUAUCGUCAUGUUGACAACGAUUUUGUUGUAACUGAGCUACGACGAAUGGCUGAAACACUUUGGAAUCCAGAUGUAGUCAGUAUUGGUCGCAAUGGUCGAGAACUUCAACAUUCGUCAAUAAAUAUUACCAAAAUAGCAUCAAUAGGUAAUGCAUCGGCAUUUCAGUCCUACCUGAAGAAAAAGAGGCAAAUUGAAAAUUUUGCCUCCGGUUUUGGCAUGAAGCUUUUCUCCAGAAAGCUUUUCUGGAGUGGGUCCUAUUUAUACAAAAAUGUUUUUAAAACAUGAUUCUUGUCUUGGAAAAGUUGUUAACAGUAGUAUUAAUGAAUAUUACAUGUUUCAUGGAACUCCUGUCGACAAUCUUGAAGAAAUUGAAAGAAAUGGAAUUGAUGUAAAUAUGUCACGAAAUGGAAUGUUAGGAAGGGGAAUUUACUUUACCGAGGAUUCUGUCAAAGCCGACCAAUACACAGGUAAAAGGCGUGACGGGGAAGACGAACUGUGUUGCAUAUUAGUGUGUAGGGUGUUGCUAGGAGACAGUGUGAUAAUAAAACGUAACGUUAAAGGUCAUACAGUUACUUCUACAGCAAUCUCUGCUCCAUGUAAAACAUGUUUAAAACCUGAACCUGACUGCUGCUGCUUCAGCGGAUCAACAAAAUUUGAUUCCGUAAUAUUUCAGGGAAUGCUUUUCAGAGAUUUCGUUGUUUAUGAAACGCAUUCAUGCUUUCCCGAAUUUGCGAUAAUGUACAAAAGAGUAAAUUAAUAUUAACACACUUGGUAUUAUAGAAAAAUAUAUUGCAUAUUUCGCAAGUCAUUUUUACUUGUACAUCCUUUGGACAACUGUAAUAUGCUUAAACGUAAUAUCGAUUUUGGUACCUUCACGCUUCCGUAGAAACAUAUUUAUUGCCUAUUGAACAGUUGCUUUAUAACAAUGUAUUUUUAUCAUUAGAGAGUUAGUUUUACUUAUACUGUCGGGAAAUGUGUUCAUUACAUUAUAAAUACAUACCUUUGUGUGCAUUCCUAAUACUUGGCAAUACAGAAGCGCUUGCAAUGUAGAAAUAUCAACAAAAAUAUUAGAUUCAAGUUGAGAUAUGCAUAUAGCACUGUAGUCAGCUUACAAUACACACUAUUACAUGACUCAUUAACUUGUGCUAUCGACCGGUCUAUAGUUCAACACAGCUUUGCAGGACUAUAAACAAAAAAUGGGAGGAAAAUGUUUUGAAAUUUAUUUCUGAUGUCUUGUAACAAUUUUAAGCGUAUUAAAUGACUUGCCUGUCAAUAGUAAAAACUAUUUACUGAGGUCCUAAUAAAUGUAUAAAUUGCCUGGUGACUUAUAGGCCCAUUGGGCCGGGUGUGUUUAAUUGUUAAAUAUUGUAUGUAAUUAUGUUUAUAUGCUCACACAGGUCACGUUAAUAAACAAAUUUCUUAUCU
Molecule: long non-coding RNA, 1787 nt
Organism: Mercenaria mercenaria
Lineage: Eukaryota; Metazoa; Mollusca; Bivalvia; Venerida; Veneridae
Exons: 3
Source: RefSeq, a predicted model, not a curated record